RNAcentral lists this ribosomal RNA (468 nucleotides) under uncultured bacterium. RNAcentral describes it as "partial 16S ribosomal RNA". It matches the Rfam family "Bacterial small subunit ribosomal RNA", at positions 28 to 507 of the family's 1533-position model. The record is from RNAcentral.
GACGAACGCUGGCGGCGUGCUUAACACAUGCAAGUCGAACGGAAAGGCCCUGCUUGUGUGGGGUGCUCGAGUGGCGAAGGGGUGAGUAACACGUGAGUAACCUGCCCUGGACUUGGGGAUAACUUCAGGAAACUGGGGCUAAUACCGGAUAGGAGCGCCUGCUGCAGGGUGGGGGUUGGAAAGUUUCGGCGGAUGGGGAUGGACUCGCGGCUUAUCAGCUUGUUGGUGGGGUAGUGGCUUACCAAGGCUUUGACGGGUAGCCGGCCUGAGAGGGUGACCGGCCACAUUGGGCCUGAGAUACGGCCCAGACUCCUACGGUAGGCAGCGGGGGGGAAUAUUGCACAAUGGGCGGAAGCCUGAUGCAGCAACGCCGCGUGCGGGAUGACGGCCUUCGGGUUGUAAACCGCUUUCGCCUGUGACGAAGCGUGAGUGACGGUAAUGGGUAAAGAAGCACCGGCUAACUACGUG